This 539-nucleotide ribosomal RNA is filed under the name Staphylococcus aureus. Its description in RNAcentral is "bacterial LSU rRNA". It matches the Rfam family "Bacterial large subunit ribosomal RNA", at positions 1137 to 1677 of the family's 2925-position model. The record is from RNAcentral. Lineage: Bacteria; Bacillati; Bacillota; Bacilli; Caryophanales; Staphylococcaceae.
AUAGCUCACUAGUCGAGUGACACUGCGCCGAAAAUGUACCGGGGCUAAACAUAUUACCGAAGCUGUGGAUUGUCCUUUGGACAAUGGUAGGAGAGCGUUCUAAGGGCGUUGAAGCAUGAUCGUAAGGACAUGUGGAGCGCUUAGAAGUGAGAAUGCCGGUGUGAGUAGCGAAAGACGGGUGAGAAUCCCGUCCACCGAUUGACUAAGGUUUCCAGAGGAAGGCUCGUCCGCUCUGGGUUAGUCGGGUCCUAAGCUGAGGCCGACAGGCGUAGGCGAUGGAUAACAGGUUGAUAUUCCUGUACCACCUAUAAUCGUUUUAAUCGAUGGGGGGACGCAGUAGGAUAGGCGAAGCGUGCGAUUGGAUUGCACGUCUAAGCAGUAAGGCUGAGUAUUAGGCAAAUCCGGUACUCGUUAAGGCUGAGCUGUGAUGGGGAGAAGACAUUGUGUCUUCGAGUCGUUGAUUUCACACUGCCGAGAAAAGCCUCUAGAUAGAAAAUAGGUGCCCGUACCGCAAACCGACACAGGUAGUCAAGAUGAGA